CCCCUCUCAGUGUCGCACCUGGAGAGUUUCCAGUGCUCUGCCAAUCUUGGAUGUGGGAGGGAGAGUCAAGCGGAUACCCAUUCCAUUCCUAGCUUGGCCAGUGGCUAGCGAGGGGAAGGCAAUCUGCUGCACGU
Molecule: small nucleolar RNA, 134 nt
Organism: Tachyglossus aculeatus (Australian echidna)
Lineage: Eukaryota; Metazoa; Chordata; Mammalia; Monotremata; Tachyglossidae
Source: RefSeq, a predicted model, not a curated record